AGAAACCGGGGUGGGGGAGGGGUCAGCAUCAGCCCAGGCAGGACUGUCCUGGGGAGCCCCUCCUGUUCUCAGGCAAGACUGGGAAAUCCCAGCCCUAGGGCCCUGGAGAGGCCCUCACCCGCUCUGCUUUCACCCAACCCGACUGACACGGAGUAGGAGGUGGGAAUCAUGCAGGCAGGGAGCUUAGGAAGCCUGGUUUAAGAUUGCUUUGAAUGGCAGGCCCCCUGCUGUGCUCCUGGGGAGAGAGCCUGAAACCUGGAUGCUCGGGAGCCCCUCAGAUCCGUCAUCUGUCCCCGACACCCCUGUGGUGAGCCUUGCCACUGGGCCCUGAGAAGCUCAGAGCAGUCGAGUCAGGGCAGUGGGACAUGACCCAGGUCAGAUGUGGCUUUUCCGUAAUUGUACACCAAUGAUCAAGAGAAAAUGAAGGAUUUUAAUAUCACACACCUACACUUGAUGGCAGGGAAAUAAUUAUUUCCUGCAGAAUGGGCUGCAAAUGUAACAAACCCCCUGACCUUCAGUCUGAAGAGAGAGAACUAUCAACCACACAGAAGCAAAGAUCCAGAGAAAUACUGAGGGAUGCUACCAGACACUCAACCAGGGCCACUCUCCGAGAUUCCAGCCAGCCACACAGCAAAGAUGCUGGCCGGGGACACUGCCCCAAACCACCAGACAGAACCCCAAAGAAACAGCUCCACACACAGUGGAAGAUACACCAGAGACUGUUAGAAGGACCAUCAGACAAAGCCAAAGAGACAGGUAGAUGAAACCAGAUAACCAGCCAGAGAGGUGGUCAGAGAACAGCGACACAAUCAAAGGACCCACCAGAAACACUGUAAAGGACUCAGCUAGACCCAGGCAGAUACACUGCCGAAGGACGAGCAAGGAGCACAGGCAGUGAAGCCGUCGGCGACAAAGCCAGAGAGCUAAGACACUGUCAGAAACAGUGCCAGAGAAACCGUCUGACACACAAGCAGAGAAAUACCAGAGAAACUGAUAGACGCAAACAGGCGUACACCCAGAAAAACAGCUUGAGAGAAGAGCCAGAGCCACAGCCAGAUGCUCAGUCAGGAAGUAUCCACACCACUCCAAACACUGCCAGAGACACUGUCAGACACACAGUCAGACACACUGCCAGAGACACCGUUAUAAAGACUGCCAGAGAAACAGCCAGACACACAGCCAGAAAAACUGACAGAGACGCAGUGCCAGAUAUACCCCGAGAAAGUGCCAGAGACUCAGCUCCAGACAGUGCAGACAUAGCAUAACAGAGACAAAUGUGGGUAUCAGCCUGAAGCAGCUGCGGAGAGGCUGGAGAGCAAUGAACUUCCUGGGGCUUCCUGUGGGAGAGGGCUCCUGCCUGCCUUUUGCUACCCUUGACCCUCUCCAGGAAAGUCCCCUCCUCUGAGCCUGCUUUUCCUUUCCUCCCUGUCACAGCCACAGGUGCCCUGACUGCCCCUCCCUGGCACAGUAAAUCUCUCUGUGUCCUAAGUGGC
This 1493-nucleotide long non-coding RNA is filed under the name Homo sapiens (human). RNAcentral's name for it is "HSALNT0351744". Lineage: Eukaryota; Metazoa; Chordata; Mammalia; Primates; Hominidae. The record is from RNAcentral.